GCUGGGUAUGGUGACCUGCGCCUGUAAUCCUAGCUACUUGGGAGGCUGAGGUGGGAGAAUCGCUUGAACCCAGGAGGCAGAGGUUGCAGUGAGCCGAGGUGGCGCCACUGCACUCCAGCCUGGGUGACAAAGUGAGACUUCAUCUCAA
This 148-nucleotide non-coding RNA is filed under the name Homo sapiens (human). Lineage: Eukaryota; Metazoa; Chordata; Mammalia; Primates; Hominidae. The record is from Rfam by way of RNAcentral.